GACGAACGCUGGCGGCGUGCUUAACACAUGCAAGUCGAACGGAAAGGCCCUGCUUUUGUGGGGUGCUCGAGUGGUGAACGGGUGAGUAACACGUGAGUAACCUGCCCUUGACUUUGGGAUAACUUCAGGAAACUGGGGCUAAUACCGGAUAGGAGCUCCUGCUGCAUGGUGGGGGUUGGAAAGUUUCGGCGGUUGGGGAUGGACUCGCGGCUUAUCAGCUUGUUGGUGGGGUAGUGGCUUACCAAGGCUUUGACGGGUAGCCGGCCUGAGAGGGUGACCGGCCACAUUGGGACUGAGAUACGGCCCAGACGCCUACGGGAGGCAGCAGUGGGGAAUAUUGCACAAUGGGCGGAAGCCUGAUGCAGCAACGCCGCGUGCGGGAUGACGGCCUUCGGGUUGUAAACCGCUUUCGCCUGUGACGAAGCGUGAGUGACGGUAAUGGGUAAAGAAGCACCGGCUAACUACGUG
Molecule: ribosomal RNA, 468 nt
Filed under: uncultured bacterium
Lineage: Bacteria
Description: partial 16S ribosomal RNA
Rfam family: Bacterial small subunit ribosomal RNA
Source: RNAcentral